Molecule: transfer RNA, 76 nt
Filed under: Planctomycetota bacterium
Lineage: Bacteria; Pseudomonadati; Planctomycetota
Description: tRNA-Ala
Rfam family: tRNA
About the family: Transfer RNA (tRNA) molecules are approximately 80 nucleotides in length.
Source: RNAcentral
GGGGGCGUAGCUCAGUUGGGAGAGCGCUGGCUUUGCAAGCCAGAGGUCACGGGUUCGAGCCCCGUCGCCUCCACCA